Diachasma alloeum is the source of this 777-nucleotide long non-coding RNA. RefSeq lists it as uncharacterized. NCBI's taxonomy places the organism in Eukaryota, Metazoa, Arthropoda, Insecta, Hymenoptera, Braconidae. The transcript is spliced from 3 exons. The record is from RefSeq and is a predicted model, not a curated record.
UAGUGCGCAUUCCCUCUGAAAGUAAUGCGCGUUAUGUCCCAGUCGUGUCUGUGAAGCGGGCUUCAGUGUGUGGUUAUCGUUGGAACUGAGAAAAUAGAUAGGAAGGACUACAAUUGUAUUUUUUUGAAAGAUGAAAUUGUGUCCCUGGGAUGCACGACGGCAAUUACGGUGCGCCUGGGCAAGAGAGAGGAAUAAGGGAACGGAAUAGAAUACACGGACACGGAUCAUAAUUAGAGAUUGCAGGAAGAUAAGCAAUCUACCCGCAUGAUACCUCACCGACGCAAUUGAACCCGCCUCGAUCUUUCAUCCGCACUGAUCAUUUUAUCGAUGAUUAAACUGGUGGAAUGAUUAAUGAGACCAAGAAUCCGAUGAGAAAGCCUGGAUAUUUACGAUUCCAUCGACAGCGAGAGAAUAUCCUGAGACGAAUGACCUGGCGAAACAAUGGGGAGGUACUGUUGGAGUAUCUCGAGCGUAAACACACCGAGAUAUCUCUCGUCACGGGCCUCUCGUUUCAAAAUACGACAUAAUGUACAGCAGAAUGUAGCGUCCUGCUACGGAAAUGAAAUUAAGGGUCAUUGACAAAAUGAAAAUGUUGGAAUAUUCAGCAACUGAUUUACAUGAGAUCUUGAUGGAUUUUGCGGCUGAAAAAUGAGGCAAUUCCAUGGGAUAACUAAUUUCAAACGCAAUUUCGGGGAGAAAACUUAUUUCGAGAGGAAUUAAAUUUUAUCAUUCCUCAUUUCUAAAGAUUUUCAUGGAAUAAUUCAGUAGCGAAGUGGU